Molecule: ribosomal RNA, 349 nt
Filed under: uncultured soil bacterium
Lineage: Bacteria
Description: bacterial SSU rRNA
Rfam family: Bacterial small subunit ribosomal RNA
Source: RNAcentral
AGAACGAACGCUGGCGGCAUGCCUAACACAUGCAAGUCGAACGAGACCUUCGGGUCUAGUGGCGCACGGGUGCGUAACGCGUGGGAAUCUGCCCUUGGGUUCGGGAUAACAGUUGGAAACGACUGCUAAUACCGGAUGAUGACUUCGGUCCAAAGAUUUAUCGCCCAGGGAUGAGCCCGCGUCGGAUUAGCUAGUUGGUAGGGUAAAGGCCCACCAAGGCAACGAUCCGUAGCUGGUCUGAGAGGAUGAUCAGCCACACGUGGGACUGAGACGACGGCCCAGACCUCGUACGGGAGCAGCGAGUGGGAAUACGUUAGGACAAUGGGACGAAAGCCUAGACUCCGAGCAA